GGACGGUUUGCUAAAGCUGAAGAGGACGGUUUGCUAAAUCGUUAGGUCGGGUAACUGGCGCGGGGGUUCGAAUCCCCCAUUCUCCG
RNAcentral lists this transfer RNA (86 nucleotides) under Streptococcus sp. VT 162. Its description in RNAcentral is "tRNA-Ser". It matches the Rfam family "tRNA". From Rfam's summary of the family: Transfer RNA (tRNA) molecules are approximately 80 nucleotides in length. Lineage: Bacteria; Bacillati; Bacillota; Bacilli; Lactobacillales; Streptococcaceae. The record is from RNAcentral.